UACGAAGGGGGCUAGCGUUGCUCGGAAUCACUGGGCGUAAAGCGCACGUAGGCGGCUUCUUAAGUCGGGGGUGAAAUCCUGGAGCUCAACUCCAGAACUGCCUUUGAUACUGAGGAGCUUGAGUCCGGGAGAGGUGAGUGGAACUGCGAGUGUAGAGGUGAAAUUCGUAGAUAUUCGCAAGAACACCAGUGGCGAAGGCGGCUCACUGGCCCGGUACUGACGCUGAGGUGCGAAAGCGUGGGGAGCAAACAGG
This 253-nucleotide ribosomal RNA is filed under the name uncultured bacterium. RNAcentral's name for it is "partial 16S ribosomal RNA". It matches the Rfam family "Bacterial small subunit ribosomal RNA", at positions 524 to 776 of the family's 1533-position model. The record is from RNAcentral.